This 239-nucleotide long non-coding RNA is filed under the name Taeniopygia guttata (zebra finch). RNAcentral's name for it is "lncRNA (ENSTGUG00000029339.1)". The record is from RNAcentral. Lineage: Eukaryota; Metazoa; Chordata; Aves; Passeriformes; Estrildidae.
GGAGAAAAAAGAUCCAGAGUAUGUAAUGGCUUCUCAUUCUUCAUUUUGAUGUUUCUCCAAUGACUGUCAGAAACUCUAUAGACAUUAAAUUGGACUUUGGAACAGAUUUUAAGAACAAGGCAGAUGUAAAGGCUAUAUCAUGCUCUCAAAUUCUUCAUUACAGAAAGGUACAUUCAUGAGGUAUUUGUCAUUCUUCUCAAAAUCAAGAUUCAUAGUCAUGGACUCUGCCCUUCCCUGGA